CCUACGGGUGACUGCAGUGAGGAAUAUUGGUCAAUGGCCGGAAGGCUGAACCAGCCAUGCCGCGUGAAGGUCAGUGCCCUAUGGGCGUUAAACUUCUUUUGUGCGGGAGCAAUAAUGGUCACGUGUGGCCAGACGAGAGUACCGUACGAAUAAGCAUCGGCUAACUCCGUGCCAGCAGCCGCGGUAAUACGGGGGAUGCAAGCGUUAUCCGGAUUUAUUGGGUUUAAAGGGUGCGUAGGCUGUGAGGUAAGUCAGAUGUGAAAUCCCGCGGCUCAACCGCGGAACUGCAUUUGAAACUGUUUUUCUUGAGUACCGGAGAGGUCAUCGGAAUUCCUUGUGUAGCGGUGAAAUGCGUAGAUAUAAGGAAGAACACCAGUGGCGAAGGCGGAUGACUGGACGGCAACUGACGUUGAGGCUCGAAAGCGUGGGGAGCAAACAGGAUUAGAUACCCCAGUAGUC
This 459-nucleotide ribosomal RNA is filed under the name uncultured bacterium. RNAcentral's name for it is "partial 16S ribosomal RNA". It matches the Rfam family "Bacterial small subunit ribosomal RNA", at positions 338 to 795 of the family's 1533-position model. The record is from RNAcentral.